UACAGAGGUCCCAAGCGUUGUUCGGAUUCACUGGGCGUAAAGGGUGCGUAGGCGGUCGGGUAAGUCUGAUGUGAAAUCUCACAGCUUAACUGUGAAACUGCAUUGGAUACUAUCCGGCUAGAGGAAUGGAGGGGAGACUGGAAUACUUGGUGUAGCGGUGAAAUGCGUAGAUAUCAAGAGGAACACCCGUGGCUAAGGCGGCUCUCUAGUACGGUACUGACGCUGAGACGCGAAAGCGUGGGGAGCGAACAGG
This 253-nucleotide ribosomal RNA is filed under the name uncultured bacterium. Its description in RNAcentral is "partial 16S ribosomal RNA". It matches the Rfam family "Bacterial small subunit ribosomal RNA", at positions 524 to 776 of the family's 1533-position model. The record is from RNAcentral.